Molecule: non-coding RNA, 127 nt
Filed under: Bacteroidota bacterium
Lineage: Bacteria; Pseudomonadati; Bacteroidota
Description: Bacteroidetes bacterium SAM-I sequence
Rfam family: SAM riboswitch aptamer (S box leader)
About the family: The SAM riboswitch is found upstream of a number of genes which code for proteins involved in methionine or cysteine biosynthesis in Gram-positive bacteria. The SAM riboswitch acts at the level of transcription termination control.
Source: RNAcentral
CUCUUAUCAAGAAAGGCGGAGGGAUCAGGCCCUGUGAUGCCUUAGCAACCGCCCCGGUUUAACCGCCGGGGGUCAGGUGCUAAAUCCUGCCCGGCUGGUGCAUGCACUGGCUUGGGGAAGAUGAGAG